AGUCUCGUGUAGUUUACCAUCACAUUCUGAGCGUUAUUCUGAUCACCUGUUUGGCCUCGUGUGGAAGACUCCUUGUUUGUUCCAGACCUCGCUGCCUCCUGCCUGAUCCUUCUGGAGAACCAAUUGUGCAUCGAGGGCUCUUCAGUUUAGCAGUGAUGGCCAGGUCCAUUUCAAGCCGCCCUUCUGAGGACACUGCAUGGAAAGCAUUGCUACACAAGGUACAGGUGCCAAAGGAGCCGAUAGCAGGAAAAGAAGAAAUGAGAGAAAACCAGGGAGAAGCAUGAAGAGAGGUCCGUUCACUUUACACCAUCUUCCUGUACAUGACUUCACGGUUAUUUGUGUCUGCAGUAGUGUGAAGGAAAAGGGAAUUCACAUGAGUUACCUUUCAAGGAUGCAGCAAAAAAGGAUUAACAAAGGCAAACCCCAGGCAAUAGGAAUAGGAACAAGUGAGGACGACGAGAUCAGAUGGACUGCCCUUCGCUCUGGUUCUGUAUACAUCGCCCCUUCAAGUGUUUGCAGCCUGGGGCCACAAUUAGUGCCAGACCUUAGGUUGCCAUUGAGCUACAGUAGCUGGGCAACUGACCCCUGUACCGCACAACUUGAUAGGUUGCUUAAAUAAAUAAAAAUAAAAUCAGAACUUUGCUGUGGCACUGGAACAAAGUCAUACAACUUCGAGAAGUGAGAAUUACUGAAAAGAGUUACAAAUACUAUCCUCCUGUAUGCCUGAACCCUUGUUAUACAUCUGCCAAUCACUCAUCAAAAUGUCCACUUACAGUCAUUGUUUGGAGCUGUAAAUCAGGAUAUCAUCCGUUUUCUAUCAAAUAAGCACAACAAAACGAUGAAAUUGUUAGCCUAUCGUCUUGCUGCUGUUACACAUCCCUCCACCUCUCCACCCAAUCUUCAUCAGCUUCAUCACCUCAUCAUUCCAGUGGUGGGGGGGUAAGUAAGGAAUACGUUCUGAGGUGUCAGGUGAAAGGUGGGGCUUGAAAUGACAACAACCCAACUGUCUCAACAGUUCGGCCCUCAAUUGUUUUUUUAAUUAAGCAAGCAGAUUUUUUUAGUGAAAAAUA
Pungitius pungitius (ninespine stickleback) is the source of this 1070-nucleotide long non-coding RNA. RefSeq lists it as uncharacterized. The transcript has 3 exons. Lineage: Eukaryota; Metazoa; Chordata; Actinopteri; Perciformes; Gasterosteidae. The record is from RefSeq and is a predicted model, not a curated record.